UAAAAGCAUUUUAAAGCUUACAAGAUGUACACUGAAUGUGUAUUCGACUAAUUUGUAAUUUAGUACGCUUCGCAUUAUACCACGAGGGAACGCUGUGGUGGCGUCAUCACAUACAUUCAUCGGGUGAGCAUGGCGGCUAAACAUCGAAGAGGCCCAGUGUAAACAAACUCGUACAACGAGCUUGCAGUGCGCGACGUAGUGAUCAGGCUCGACGAUGACCACUAUUUCUUGGAUAGUUCUGUUCCUCCGUGAGCAAUCUUUCCGUGCACCCCGAAAGACUGCGAAUAGCUUAGGCGAUUUUACAGAUCGCAACGCGUACUUACUGUUCACGGCACAAUCCUGAACAAACAACUUAUCCGGUGCUGCUUCUGUGAGUGCGCUGAGUUCCUCCACUCUGCGUGACUGCGAGCGUCACGAAUAUUGCAUAGUGUGUGCAAAAGGAAGACAGCCGAUAUAGCUACGAUGCGACAAGGAGGUGGUGCCGACGAUGGAUCUCGCAACCAACACAGUGACGGAGGCAUCGACAAACUGCAGAUAACAAAACAUUCUGCUGCUGGAGGCACUCAACCGGCCGGUGGCAGUAGGCGAGCGCCAGGCACAUGCUCUUGAGAGUGUGGCAAGGUCCAGAGGGCUGCUCUGCAACAGUAGGAUCAGUGCACUCACUGCUUUCCAGUCGAGCCCCCAGAACACACCUUAUAAAGGAGCUUUCAGUUUAUUAUUUUGUUUAUUAUUCAAGAGCAUGAAUAAAAUUAUUGCAGUAAACAUUGUGCUGUGCAUAUUGGGACACUUGUAACAUGCACUUUGUGUCUCUUCAAAAUGGGCAAACAGAUAAGACAACCUGGACCGUGUAAAUGAAAAAGACACUAAUGCAGCAUAUACGUCAUUGUGCUGUUUGUUCUUUCUAUGUGCAAGAAUACAGUGGGUGUUGAUUAGCCACAAGAUGAACGGUGUGUGUAUUUCACAAUGAAAAGACAGGAAACGGCAUGACCUUAAUAAUGCAAUCACCUAUAGACUGUGCACAUGAAUGCAACACUCCCCGAUUUAAACGUGCCAUUACAUGCAUGUUCGAUACCACAUAUUCUUUAACAAUGUCAUAUAUUUGCAUGUACUAAUUUUCACACAGCUUAAGCGCAUGCAUAGCUCACUUGUGAUGUAUCCAUUUCAUAGGCCAAAUAAUUGUACACUUUGUCCUUUUGUGUUGUAUGAAAAGCGGCAUCCUCUAGUCGGAUACAACUUCACAAGACAGGAGAGGCCCCGCCCAGAUGACCAAAGCGCAGCAGCCGAUUGCCUCCACAUAGUCCCUCUCUAAAGAGCGGGUAUUAGUGCGUCCAGCGGCACGACGUCAGUGUAGAGUGUGUGCCCAUUGG
Molecule: long non-coding RNA, 1367 nt
Organism: Dermacentor andersoni
Lineage: Eukaryota; Metazoa; Arthropoda; Arachnida; Ixodida; Ixodidae
Source: RefSeq, a predicted model, not a curated record